GGAAGAACAGUCCACAGUCUCCAGGCUACACCGUGAGCUACAGGAAGCAGAAUAUCAUAGGUAUCUCCUGGGCUCCAGAGUAGCUGAGCUGAACUGUGACAUCCAGCAGAAAGACUGCAGGCGGCUCGCAGAGCAGGACGAGGUGUCCAGUAGAGAUGAGACAGUUCUGAGACUGACGGCAGACCUGCGGGCCGCUCAGGAAAAUCUGACCGCUGCACAAGAGGAGCUGGCAGAGCAGAUGCAGCAGGUCAUGUCUAGGGAAGAGGAGGUUGUGGCCCUGCAGAAGGAGGUGAGCAGACUUCAGGAGAUCCUGAAACAGAGAGAAGAAAUGAUGGAGAAGAACAAACACAACACAACACAGCUCCAGCGAGAGACAGACUUCCUUUACAGACAGUGUGAAGUCCAAAAGGAGGAGCUGUGUGAUCUGUGUGAGGAGGUGCAGCGAUGGCAACAGGAGGCGGAGGAACAGAAGGAGAGCCGGGUGAAGGGGGUGCAGGCCCUUAAGGAAGAGCUGCAGAGCACACGAAGUCAUCUGCAGCAGCACAAAGAUAACCUGGAGAGUCUGUGCCGAGAGCUGGAGACGGCCCACAGACAGCAGAGAGGCACGGAGGACGAGGUGAGACAGCGCAGCAGACUUCACUUUCACUAUAUCACAACUUCUGC
Molecule: long non-coding RNA, 663 nt
Filed under: Sinocyclocheilus anshuiensis
Lineage: Eukaryota; Metazoa; Chordata; Actinopteri; Cypriniformes; Cyprinidae
Description: lncRNA (ENSSANG00000026820.1)
Source: RNAcentral